CAGCCGCCACGGGAAUACGUAGGGUGCAAGCGUUAAUCGGAAUUACUGGGCGUAAAGCGUGCGCAGGCGGUUAUAUAAGUCAGAUGUGAAAUCCCCGGGCUCAACCUGGGAACUGCAUUUGAGACUGUAUGGCUAGAGUGUGUCAGAGGGGGGUAGAAUUUCACGUGUAGCAGUGAAAUGCGUAGAUAUGCGGAGGAACACCGAUGGCGAAGGCAAUCCCCCUGGACCUGUACUGACGCUCAUGCACGAAAGCGUGGGGAGCAAACAGGAUUAGAUACCCCAGUAGUCCCUGUCUCUUAUA
This 301-nucleotide ribosomal RNA is filed under the name uncultured bacterium. RNAcentral describes it as "partial 16S ribosomal RNA". It matches the Rfam family "Bacterial small subunit ribosomal RNA", at positions 509 to 808 of the family's 1533-position model. The record is from RNAcentral.